This 1958-nucleotide long non-coding RNA is filed under the name Populus trichocarpa (black cottonwood). RNAcentral's name for it is "long non-coding RNA (PTRI_LNC001117)". The record is from RNAcentral. Lineage: Eukaryota; Viridiplantae; Streptophyta; Magnoliopsida; Malpighiales; Salicaceae.
AUUGAUGCCAGUCUAGGCAAAAGGACCUUGGUUUGCCAUUUUCAGAUGAUGCAAAAGUAGCUGGAACAAGAUUACCAUAUUAAACAAUUGCUUGGAGUUUAAGACUUUGCGGCUGGUCUCACAAGUCCCAAUCCUGAACCACUACCCAAAUGCUUGAACUCUGUUGCCAUGAGAUGAUCCCCAUGGCCAGCAAAGCCUGUUCCACCUUUUCCCAAGUUCACCAAAUUGCGCUCUUUACAUCCCUUAGUGCAAACCAGACAAACCUUAUCGACAGCCAUAAAUUUGUCAGAGCACUUCUUGCAGAAGACAUGACCACAGGAACUAAGUGCCACUAGUGAUAGUGUGUUGGUGAGAGUAACCUUGCAGCUAGGACAAAUGUAGGUCUUAUCAAGAGAACUGGAUGAUUUCUUUUCACUGGUGUCUUCUGUAAAGUAAACAGGGAACAGGCUCUUCAGCUUGAGCUUUUCCUUGCCUUCUGGGCAGACAGUACUUGUGGAAGGAGCGUCCACUUUAACAGGAGCAUCUGGUGUAGCUGAGGGUAGCCAAAAUGCUUUCAUUGUCCGGAGAGCUUCCUCUUCAUACGAAGUGACCUUCACACUGUUUGCCCCGUGGAACCCUGGCUUGUCUUGGCUGUGGUUUCUAUCGCUGUACUGUGGAACUGCACCAUGAUUUUGCUGAUCAAAUGCAUCAAGCUCCCUUGCUUUCUGCAACAUGAACUUCUCUUUCUCCUCAUCCUUUUCCUGCUUCUUCUGUAAUUCAUGGGCAGCUAGCUUCCUGACAAGUAAGAGAAAAACACACUUCUCAUCGCAGCAUUGGCACUGUAAAGAAUAAAAGAAGAUCACACAAUACAUGGAAACAGCUAAAAAAUGUACGAAACAGUUCGAUCCUACAGGUAAAAAGGCUGAGCUAGCACAGGCUCUCUUGUCUUUAAUUGAUGUUCCAAUCUGCUCUUUAAGUUCAUAUCAAAAAAGAAAGGGGAGGGCAAAUUGCACUUAAAGCCAGUUCUAAUUCAGGUAUAAAAUAAAAUUGUCACAAGACCCUUUUCCAUCUAAAUCUUUACCAUAAAUGCAAAGAUUAAUAUCUUCUUAAAUUUUUGCCCAGAUAAGACUCCUAUGCUUCUGACAAAAAAGUCAGUAGUAUAUAGCUUCGCAGACCACUCGUGCCCACAAAGACACAGUCACCAUGAAAAUUGUAGAAGCUGGCUGGUGACCUAAGAUGACCAAUUAGACUGUUAAAAUGACCAACUUUCUUUCACCAUGAAUUCCAACCCACUCAAUUGCCCAAGAUCCUAAUUUCCAAAAUUCCAAGAAAUAGAUCCUAAUUUCCAAGAUUCCAAGAAACAGUGUAUAUCAGAUAAAGCAAUAAGGUAAAAGAACUACAACAGCAUACAUUCAGAACAGAUAACUGCUUAAAUAAGGGGAAAAUUUGAAUCACGAGUUCUCUUCGCAGUUUAACACAAACCUUCUCCCCACACCAUGUCGCAAAAUAAUCUAUAAAGGCAGGAAUACUUCCUCACGACAUUUUAGCUCACACACAACCAAACAGUUACUACCCAAAUCAAUCAGAGCACAAGUACAUUCAUGUAUCAUCAUUCGUCACAAAACUCAAAGAGCCUAAGCUUCUCAACACACAAAACAAUGGCCUGCCGCAAGAAAAGUUCCCAAUUUAAUCUCCAAUUCAGAUUGUAACCUUUCAAUCAAAAUUUAAACAAUCAUCUCUCACUUCUCAUAUCAAUUUCAGUUCACAACUCAACAAGCCUUGCUAGUAUAAUUCAUAAAACCUUGCUUAUCCUUCUGAAGGACAGCCUUGCUCUCCAAAAAGAGCUACAUUAAAACUAAAAAUUUACUUAAUCGAGGUCCUAUUUCAGUUCACCAACAAAACAAAUCCCCCGCUAAACCAAGUCCAAAAAAUAAACAUUUAAAACAAUAACCAAAAUUCAAAAAACAAUCUUCCUCUAU